AGUGAACGCUGGCGGUAGGCCUAACACAUGCAAGUCGAACGGCAGCACAGUAAGAGCUUGCUCUUACGGGUGGCGAGUGGCGGACGGGUGAGGAAUACAUCGGAAUCUACUUUUUCGUGGGGGAUAAUGUAGGGAAACUUACGCUAAUACCGCAUACGACCUACGGGUGAAAGCAGGGGAUCUUCGGACCUUGCGCGAUUGAAUGAGCCGAUGUCGGAUUAGCUAGUUGGCGGGGUAAAGGCCCACCAAGGCGACGAUCCGUAGCUGGUCUGAGAGGAUGAUCAGCCACACUGGAACUGAGACACGGACCAGACUCCUACGGGAGGCGGCAGUGGGGAAUAUUGGACAAUGGGCGAAAGCCUGAUCCAGCCAUACCGCGUGGGUGAAGAAGGCCUUCGGGUUGUAAAGCCCUUUUGUUGGGAAAGAAAAGCAGCAGGUUAAUACCCCGCUGUUCUGACGGUACCCAAAGAAUAAGCACCGGCUAACUUCGUG
This 492-nucleotide ribosomal RNA is filed under the name uncultured bacterium. RNAcentral describes it as "partial 16S ribosomal RNA". It matches the Rfam family "Bacterial small subunit ribosomal RNA", at positions 29 to 507 of the family's 1533-position model. The record is from RNAcentral.